Molecule: long non-coding RNA, 1247 nt
Filed under: Anas platyrhynchos platyrhynchos (common mallard)
Lineage: Eukaryota; Metazoa; Chordata; Aves; Anseriformes; Anatidae
Description: lncRNA (ENSAPLG00000024462.1)
Source: RNAcentral
CAGCCACCGCUCAGACCCCCCCAGUGCAUCCACAGGGACAAGUUGGGCCCCGGGCGACACUGACAGGGGUGUCUGUCCGUCUGUCUGUCUGUCUGCACGCGUAGUGGUGCCUGCACGUGUAGGAACGGAGGGAUGGUGCGGGAUGGGGGGGGGGGGGCAGCUGCAUAAGACUCGCAUUCACUUGUUGCAUUCGAAGGGCAAAAUAUUUCAGCAGAAGCCCAGCGAAGUCAGCGGGAGUUUGGGAGGAGUAAAUCAAACACCAGGCUUAGCCUGACAACGUGCGUAUCGAGCCCGCAUCUCCCAGCUGGCAGUCGCAGGGCCUGAGCCACAGCCUGGAGGUGUAAAACGGCCCCCCCGGGGGCCUCGGCUCUCUUUCCAUGCAGAGGGCAGGACUGGAUCCCCCCUCACUCGGUCUUCCUCCCUGCCCAGGGCUCAGGACCAGGGGUGCGAGGUGUCUGUGAUGACCCCCCCCUUACCCCGAAGGAGCCCCCCCAUCGGGUGCUGCACUUUAGGGGGAGCAGCAGUGGGUGCCGCGUGCUCUAGGUGGGGGGCUCGCCCCAAAUGAGCCUUUAAAUGGACUUUUUGGGGUUGGAGGAGGGCUGAACCUGGGGGGCUCUUGCCCUGCCCCUGUCCUUUCUCCUUGGGCACGCAGCGGGUGCCCCCAGCCCCCCCUGGGGGACGAGGAGCCCCCACCCGUGCCAGGGGGCUGCCGCCUCCUGGGGGGCCGGGGCAGAGCAGCGGCACCACGGGGGGGGGGCUCAGAGCCGGGUAGGGGCGUCCCUGAGCUCGGGGAGGGGGCCACGGGCAUGCAGGGAGGGGGCAGAGCAUCCCGGCAGCGGGCUGCCUCCUCCAGCACCGACGGCUCCCCACCUCCAGCCCAACUUUCUACACCGGGGGCGGCCCCAGGUUGUGUCCCCCCCCCCCCCUCCCUCCACCACCCUCGGGCUGUGCCACCCUCCCCCGUCUCUGCUCCAUCCCACCCCUUCCACCCCCUCUUUCGGCUCCCCCCUUCGCCUCCCCCCCCCGGCCGGGGGCCCCGUCCCUCCCCCCCGGGGGGGCGGCCCCGCUCCCCGCCCGCCGCCGGAGGGAAGCGGCGGAGCCCGGGGGGCGCUCCCGGCUCGGGGGGCGGCCCGGGCGGCUGCAGCCGAAGCACCGGGGCUGCUCAUGCCUCCAGCAGCCGGAGAGCAGUCCCUGGAGCCGCAGGAACAAGAUGCCUGUGAAGUUUAAUGUCUCUUAGCCCUAGAAGA